Molecule: long non-coding RNA, 1854 nt
Organism: Macaca fascicularis (crab-eating macaque)
Lineage: Eukaryota; Metazoa; Chordata; Mammalia; Primates; Cercopithecidae
Source: Ensembl
GUAAUAAGUCUUUUCAUGGAGUUCAUUUUUCUUUUAAAUUCAUAUGGCCACAAAAAAUAUAUAUAUAACUUUAAGUGUCUGAUAUAUGAUAACAGCCCAGUUUGUUGGCCACUCAUUUGCAUUAUCUUAAAUCACAAAUAAUUACUUAAUUUGCUGGAGUGUGUGCUUUGCAACUUUUGUACCAGAGCAAAAUUUUUAUUUAAAACAAAAAAUAAGAGUGCCCAUCACUAGGAGAAAUACUCUUCCCAGAAAACACACACACACAUACACACACAAUUUUAAAACUGAGUAAAUUUAAAUGUGUGGAAGUACCCCACAAAUUGAUUUCAACAAAUAAAUUUCAUUUCUCUAGCUACUUAUGUCUGGACUUAUUUUGAGCAUUACAAUUUUAUUGCCUUCAUUUGCCUAUUUAGAGUGAUGUAUUUUGAUAUGAUGAAGUUGUGAAUAAAAGCCUUGUGUUCAUUAUUUAUAUAUACUACCUGGUAUGCUAUGUACUGUGUCUGCUCUAGUGCUAUUCCCUAAUGAGCAACUAAGAAGAGAAGACACAACAAUAAACCAUGGAAGUCUCGAGAGGCCAUGGAAAUGAUUUAGAGGUGUAAAAUAUUCCCCAGUUUUUAUUAUAAAUUUUUAUUCAUAGGUUAAAACAUAUCAGCAUAAGUGAUAGUACAGGUGUGACUCCCUUUUCUAGGAGAGAAAAUAGCUUUAUCUGAAAACUCCAAAAACUUUAAUCUUAUCAGAGGUUUUUAAUAGGGGAACUGGGUUUACUUACAAUGAAAGCAUAUUUUCAUUCUGCUAUAGAAAAACAUAUCCCUGCUCAUUCAGUAAAUCUAAGAUUGGAAUGCUUUCUAGAACUGUGCAAUAUUUGAAUAAUUUCUAGAAUUGUCUAAGAAACAACCUUUUUUAUUUUAAAUAAUCACCUACAAACGUAGUCUGAGACUGCAAAUUAGUUUUCACUUGAAUAAUUCAGCAUUGUAGAUUAGUUACCAUUUGCUCUAUAUAGUCUAUUGAAGGAACUACUGUUAUUCAUAUUUUGAUUAAUUUUACUAGCAACAAAUUUUUAUUUUAGUAGCAUUGCAUUUACCUUAAAUAUAUAAAAAUGAAGUUGUAACAGGAUCAAAUAUAGAAAUGGCAAUGGUAACUCUGCCUAGAACAUGGUUGAAUGUCCUUGGUUAUCUGUAAGUUGCAAAGAUCUAUACAAAUUUUAUCAUAUGUCAAAAUGAUGUCUAAAUACACAGUUUCAACUAUUUCUUCCACCCUAAAACUAAAACUAAAGCAAACCCAAAUGAAGAAACCUAAACUUUUCAUCUAAUAGUUACACCCAACUAGAUAAUAGUAGCUUCUAGGCAUCAAUAAAAAGAUUUCAUUUUAACUGUCUUUUUAAUUUGUAAAAUAUAUGAGUAUGGAAUUUUGUAUCUAACUUGAAAUUUCAGAUGUUUUAAUAAUCAAAUACUUUCUUCUUUAGCAUGCCAAAGUACUAAUAGUUUAAAAAAUUUAUUUAGAUCUAAACAUAUACAUUACUUGACUUUUUCAAAAGUAUCAAAAAAUUGAUAGCUGCAGAAAUGCCAUUAUUUGAUUUUCUAUAAAACAUUGAUUCAUUCUUAAAUGUAUAUUCUUUAAAAAAUAGUAAAUACCUCAAGAGUGACAGAAGACUUUCCUUUUCUGUAAUGCUAAUUUAAACGUUGAGUCUUAGUUUACCUGGUCAUAGGGGUUAAAUAAUAAAAUGUAUACCUGUACAAUUAAUUGUGUUCUUAUGACCUGAUGAUUUUUUGAAAAUUUGCUUUUCUCUCAAGAAAUUUAAGUUUUCAAGGGCCAUAUUAGUUACCUAAAUAUUUUGGUCUAAUGUUGACUUACAAA